Molecule: ribosomal RNA, 439 nt
Filed under: uncultured bacterium
Lineage: Bacteria
Description: partial 16S ribosomal RNA
Rfam family: Bacterial small subunit ribosomal RNA
Source: RNAcentral
CUACGGGUUGCAGCAGUGGGGAAUAUUGCACAAUGGAGGAAACUCUGAUGCAGCAACGCCGCGUGGAGGAUGACACUUUUCGGAGCGUAAACUCCUUAUAUAUAGGAAGAAGAUGACGGUACUAUAUGAAUAAGCGCCGGCUAACUCCGUGCCAGCAGCCGCAGUAAUACGGAGGGCGCAAGCGUUACUCGGAAUCACUGGGCGUAAAGAGCGUGUAGGCGGAUUAAAAAGUCAGAAGUGAAAUCCUAUAGCUUAACUAUAGAACUGCUUCUGAAACUCUUAAUCUAGAAUAUGGGAGAGGUAGAUGGAAUUUCUGGUGUAGGGGUAAAAUCCGUAGAGAUCAGAAGGAAUACCGAUUGCGAAGGCGAUCUACUAGAACAUUAUUGACGCUGAGACGCGAAAGCGUGGGGAGCAAACAGGAUUAGAUACCCUAGUAGUC